UACGAAGGGUGCAAACGUUGCUCGGAAUUAUUGGGCGUAAAGCGCACGUAGGCGGCAUUGCAAGUCGGAUGUGAAAUCCCUCGGCUUAACCAAGGAAGUGCAUCCGAAACUGCAGUGCUUGAGUACUUAAGAGGAUCGCGGAAUUCCCGGUGUAGAGGUGAAAUUCGUAGAUAUUCGCAAGAACACCAGUGGCGAAGGCGGCUCACUGGCCCGAUACUGACGCUGAGGCACGAAAGCGUGGGGAGCAAACAGG
This 253-nucleotide ribosomal RNA is filed under the name uncultured bacterium. Its description in RNAcentral is "partial 16S ribosomal RNA". It matches the Rfam family "Bacterial small subunit ribosomal RNA", at positions 524 to 776 of the family's 1533-position model. The record is from RNAcentral.